AUGUUAGUAAUAUGGGCAAUCUCUCAAGUAUCCCUUGUCUCUCUCCCAAUCUUGAGGAAGAGAUUCAUCAUUCUUAUACACAAACCCAAAAAUUCUUCCUCUAAGCUC
This is a non-coding RNA of Capsicum annuum, 108 nucleotides long. NCBI's taxonomy places the organism in Eukaryota, Viridiplantae, Streptophyta, Magnoliopsida, Solanales, Solanaceae. The record is from Rfam.